UUAAGCGACUAAGCGUACACGGUGGAUGCCCUGGCAGUCAGAGGCGAUGAAGGACGUGCUAAUCUGCGAAAAGCGUCGGUAAGGUGAUAUGAACCGUUAUAACCGGCGAUGUCCGAAUGGGGAAACCCAGUGUGAUUCGUCACACUAUCGUUAACUGAAUACAUAGGUUAACGAGGCGAACCGGGGGAACUGAAACAUCUAAGUACCCCGAGGAAAAGAAAUCAACCGAGAUUCCCCCAGUAGCGGCGAGCGAACGGGGAGCAGCCCAGAGUCUGAAUCAGCUUGUGUGUUAGUGGAACGGUCUGGAAAGUCCGACGGUACAGGGUGAUAGUCCCGUACACCAAAAUGCACAGGCUGUGAACUCGAAGAGUAGGGCGGGACACGUGGUAUCCUGUCUGAAUAUGGGGGGACCAUCCUCCAAGGCUAAAUACUCCUGACUGACCGAUAGUGAACCAGUACCGUGAGGGAAAGGCGAAAAGAACCCCGGCGAGGGGAGUGAAAAAGAACCUGAAACCGUGUACGUACAAGCAGUGGGAGCACCUUCGGGUGUGACUGCGUACCUUUUGUAUAAUGGGUCAGCGACUUAUAUUCUGUAGCAAGGUUAACCGUAUAGGGGAGCCGCAGGGAAACCGAGUCUUAACUGGGCGUUAAGUUGCAGGGUAUAGACCCGAAACCCGGUGAUCUAGCCAUGGGCAGGUUGAAGGUUGGGUAACACUAACUGGAGGACCGAACCGACUAAUGUUGAAAAAUUAGCGGAUGACUUGUGGCUGGGGGUGAAAGGCCAAUCAAACCGGGAGAUAGCUGGUUCUCCCCGAAAGCUAUUUAGGUAGCGCCUCGUGAACUCAUCUUCGGGGGUAGAGCACUGUUUCGGCUAGGGGGUCAUCCCGACUUACCAACCCGAUGCAAACUACGAAUACCGAAGAAUGUUAUCACGGGAGACACACGGCGGGUGCUAACGUCCGUCGUGAAGAGGGAAACAACCCAGACCGCCAGCUAAGGUCCCAAAGUCAUGGUUAAGUGGGAAACGAUGUGGGAAGGCACAGACAGCCAGGAUGUUGGCUUAGAAGCAGCCAUCAUUUAAAGAAAGCGUAAUAGCUCACUGGUCGAGUCGGCCUGCGCGGAAGAUGUAACGGGGCUAAACCAUGCACCGAAGCUGCGGCAGCGACACUAUGUGUUGUUGGGUAGGGGAGCGUUCUGUAAGCCUGCGAAGGUGACCUGUGAGGGUUGCUGGAGGUAUCAGAAGUGCGAAUGCUGACAUAAGUAACGAUAAAGCGGGUGAAAAGCCCGCUCGCCGGAAGACCAAGGGUUCCUGUCCAACGUUAAUCGGGGCAGGGUGAGUCGACCCCUAAGGCGAGGCCGAAAGGCGUAGUCGAUGGGAAACAGGUUAAUAUUCCUGUACUUGGUGUUACUGCGAAGGGGGGACGGAGAAGGCUAUGUUAGCCGGGCGACGGUUGUCCCGGUUUAAGCAUGUAGGCUGAUUAUCCAGGCAAAUCCGGAUAAUCAAGGCUGAGGUGUGAUGACGAGGCACUACGGUGCUGAAGUAACAAAUGCCCUGCUUCCAGGAAAAGCCUCUAAGCAUCAGGUAACAUCAAAUCGUACCCCAAACCGACACAGGUGGUCAGGUAGAGAAUACCAAGGCGCUUGAGAGAACUCGGGUGAAGGAACUAGGCAAAAUGGUGCCGUAACUUCGGGAGAAGGCACGCUGGUGUGUAGGUGAAGUCCCUGCGGAUGGAGCUGAGACCAGUCGAAGAUACCAGCUGGCUGCAACUGUUUAUUAAAAACACAGCACUGUGCAAACACGAAAGUGGACGUAUACGGUGUGACGCCUGCCCGGUGCCGGAAGGUUAAUUGAUGGGGUUAUCCGUAAGGAGAAGCUCUUGAUCGAAGCCCCGGUAAACGGCGGCCGUAACUAUAACGGUCCUAAGGUAGCGAAAUUCCUUGUCGGGUAAGUUCCGACCUGCACGAAUGGCGUAAUGAUGGCCAGGCUGUCUCCACCCGAGACUCAGUGAAAUUGAACUCGCUGUGAAGAUGCAGUGUACCCGCGGCAAGACGGAAAGACCCCGUGAACCUUUACUAUAGCUUGACACUGAACAUUGAGCCUUGAUGUGUAGGAUAGGUGGGAGGCUUUGAAGCGUGGACGCCAGUCUGCGUGGAGCCAACCUUGAAAUACCACCCUUUAAUGUUUGAUGUUCUAACGUUGGCCCCUGACCGGGGUUGCGGACAGUGUCUGGUGGGUAGUUUGACUGGGGCGGUCUCCUCCCAAAGCGUAACGGAGGAGCACGAAGGUUAGCUAAUCCUGGUCGGACAUCAGGAGGUUAGUGCAAUGGCAUAAGCUAGCUUGACUGCGAGCGUGACGGCGCGAGCAGGUGCGAAAGCAGGUCAUAGUGAUCCGGUGGUUCUGAAUGGAAGGGCCAUCGCUCAACGGAUAAAAGGUACUCCGGGGAUAACAGGCUGAUACCGCCCAAGAGUUCAUAUCGACGGCGGUGUUUGGCACCUCGAUGUCGGCUCAUCACAUCCUGGGGCUGAAGUAGGUCCCAAGGGUAUGGCUGUUCGCCAUUUAAAGUGGUACGCGAGCUGGGUUUAGAACGUCGUGAGACAGUUCGGUCCCUAUCUGCCGUGGGCGCUGGAGAAUUGAGGGGGGCUGCUCCUAGUACGAGAGGACCGGAGUGGACGCAUCACUGGUGUUCGGGUUGUCAUGCCAAUGGCACUGCCCGGUAGCUAAAUGCGGAAGAGAUAAGUGCUGAAAGCAUCUAAGCACGAAACUUGCCCCGAGAUGAGUUCUCCCUGAGACUAUAAGUCUCCUGAAGGAACGUUGAAGACGACGACGUUGAUAGGCCGGGUGUGUAAGCGCAGCGAUGCGUUGAGCUAACCGGUACUAAUGAACCGUGAGGCUUAACCUU
Molecule: ribosomal RNA, 2900 nt
Filed under: Klebsiella quasipneumoniae
Lineage: Bacteria; Pseudomonadati; Pseudomonadota; Gammaproteobacteria; Enterobacterales; Enterobacteriaceae
Description: bacterial LSU rRNA
Rfam family: Bacterial large subunit ribosomal RNA
Source: RNAcentral